GAAAAACCUUCUAGUCCAUAGCUCCUGAAGAAAAACGAGCUGAAGCGAAUAUGGAGAAACAGCUUCCUCCACGGAAAAUGCAGAGGCAUGCAACGCGGCGGAUGCAAGUUUGCUAAUUGAAAUUAUUCGCAAAGAUCUAGUAGAAUUAAAACUGGAGGUGCUGCGAAACGAUCCUUUUUUGACGCUAUACUCGGUUAAAACUAUCGACGCUUUGCACUUGAUGCCGGAACUGCCCACCCCGAGAGCAGAUGAGCGCUGGGGAAUGUUUUCAGCCACCUGGAGGAGGAAGUUCAGCGCGGAAGAAAUGUUACCAGACUUCGCCGAUCUGGUAUCUGGACUUUUUUGAUGAUCUCAUAGAGAUUGGGUGUGCAGAUGGGCGUUUAAAGUUCUGGGAGGGAACGACUGGUAACUUUUAGGAUAUAUAUGAAGCUGAAAACAACCGCAACAAUGGGGUAACUAACAUAAACCUCGCCGGUGACAAAGUGAUAGUUGCACGGUUGAGUGAACGAAUCGAUUUUCUGAGACUGGAAACGUACACGUAAGGUUUUCAGAUCGAUUGGGGAUUUACGUCUGCAUAUGGGCGAAGUAAGUUCUAUGUUUCAAGCAAUUUUUUAAGCUCACCUAGGGCGCAGACAGAUUUUACUUGUUCUUUUAAAAUACUGUAUAUUCUAAGUCAUUUAAUUUUCAGUCUGUAAUGAGUAUGUCAUCAAGUGCCUUAAUUCUUUUUCUUUUUAGCCCACGUACACAGCGGUUCGGCAGGAAGCAUUAGUUUAUUUCAGCAACUCGCCGGCUCAAAUCCGUCCACAGCGUUGCCAGCUCAACAUCACGCAUCCGAGGAGGAGCUUCGAUGUAUCCUGGAGUUUCACCAGCAGGGUCACCGGUGACAUGUUUGGAACCACCUAUUGCAGUUCACCCUAAACGGCCAUUGCGGUCCUAUCACAUGUAUUUUCAUAGACCAGUGGCAGGCCGAGAUGGGCGCAUCUGGUUGCCAGGAUGGUGUGCUAUGUGUGUGGGACUUGAUACGGGGUGCCUGUAUGUACAAAAUUGAAGCCCAUGACGACAUGACGUCGCACUUGCCUGUUCCCCGAGUUACGCAAUAUCGCUCGGACUGAACGAACGAAUACGGUUUUGGGAUAGAUUUCAGGGUUAGCCGCUCAACACCAUGACCGUCAGUCAUGCAUAUUCAUCGCUUGUGAUGCUGACGCUUCUGAACGAAGCCAUUGCUAGCACGAGUUUUUGAUUUGGAAGGAUAGUUGCUGAGGACCAUUCUCACAAUAGUAUAAAAGUUCUAACCUCAAAAACAGACAACAAUAAAAUGUAUUUCUUUCAGAGUUUAUAAUAUCCAUUACAUGAUCAAAUGCGCUGAUGGGUUAGGCUUUGGAUUCGGCUAUAUUCCAUCGUCAUUGAAGCUAGAUCAUAGAAUCAUGUUAAUUUGACAGACUGCAAGUGUUAUU
Topomyia yanbarensis is the source of this 1454-nucleotide long non-coding RNA. RefSeq lists it as uncharacterized. The record is from RefSeq and is a predicted model, not a curated record. The transcript is spliced from 5 exons. Lineage: Eukaryota; Metazoa; Arthropoda; Insecta; Diptera; Culicidae.